RNAcentral lists this ribosomal RNA (252 nucleotides) under uncultured bacterium. RNAcentral describes it as "partial 16S ribosomal RNA". It matches the Rfam family "Bacterial small subunit ribosomal RNA", at positions 524 to 775 of the family's 1533-position model. The record is from RNAcentral.
UACGUAGGUGGCAAGCGUUGUCCGGAAUUAUUGGGCGUAAAGCGCGCGCAGGCGGUCCUUUAAGUCUGAUGUGAAAGCCCACGGCUCAACCGUGGAGGGUCAUUGGAAACUGGGGAACUUGAGUGCAGAAGAGGAUAGUGGAAUUCCAAGUGUAGCGGUGAAAUGCGUAGAGAUUUGGAGGAACACCAGUGGCGAAGGCGACUAUCUGGUCUGUAACUGACACUGAGGCGCGAAAGCGUGGGGAGCAAACAG